This 253-nucleotide ribosomal RNA is filed under the name uncultured bacterium. Its description in RNAcentral is "partial 16S ribosomal RNA". It matches the Rfam family "Bacterial small subunit ribosomal RNA", at positions 524 to 776 of the family's 1533-position model. The record is from RNAcentral.
UACGUAGGGGGCAAGCGUUGUCCGGAAUCAUUGGGCGUAAAGCGCGUGUAGGCGGCCCGGUAAGUCCGCUGUGAAAGUCGGGGGCUCAACCCUCGGAUGCCGGUGGAUACUGUCGGGCUAGAGUGCGGGAGAGGCGAGUGGAAUUCCUGGUGUAGCGGUGAAAUGCGCAGAUAUCAGGAGGAACACCAAUUGCGAAGGCAGCUCGCUGGAACGUUACUGACGCUGAGACGCGAAAGCGUGGGGUGCAAACAGG